Sorex fumeus (smoky shrew) is the source of this 104-nucleotide small nuclear RNA. The record is from RefSeq and is a predicted model, not a curated record. NCBI's taxonomy places the organism in Eukaryota, Metazoa, Chordata, Mammalia, Eulipotyphla, Soricidae.
UUUGCUUUGGCAGCAUAUUACACUAAAAUGGGAGUGACACAGAGAAGACUAACACAACUGCUGCACAGGAUGAUAUGCAAAUUCAUGGAGCGGUCCACAUUUAA